Long non-coding RNA from Temnothorax curvispinosus, 1456 nucleotides. RefSeq lists it as uncharacterized. The transcript is spliced from 5 exons. NCBI's taxonomy places the organism in Eukaryota, Metazoa, Arthropoda, Insecta, Hymenoptera, Formicidae. The record is from RefSeq and is a predicted model, not a curated record.
AUAGCCAUGGGCGUUUGGCGGAUCGUGACUUGUUAGGGCGAUCUGACAGUUCCUUCUCGUUGUCUCGUCGCGACGUAAUAGCGGGAGUGCCGCGUAAAGUAGUGUCGGGCGAUCUCGUUGUAGGUAUCUUUCGGUGAUCGAUGCGCGAGCGAUCGUAACCUUUCCUUCCGCGAGUGUGAAUCCGUGUGCCUGGAGCAACGACAUGGCGUAGCGGGGGAGGAGGAGAGGCGGCCCGGAGAGGCAUCGGGCAACGGCGGAGCAACCCCGAGAUCAACGUUCCUGUUAUAACUCCGCUGCUGCGCAUCGUUUGAUAACCGGGAGCGAAUAAAAGCACCAUUGAGCACCAUUCAGACUUUUCCGGUCUCGCAGUUUUAUUGAUAGUAUGUUUCACUGCGAAAUUGCAUUAAGCAACCUACGCUGUUAAAAGUGCACGCCGAUAAUAAAGGAGCCGCCGCUAGUUCUUGGUCGAAGUGGAUGAAGGGUGAUAAAGCGAAAUGAGAAUCAUCACGUGGAUGAAAGCGACGCGGCUCAGAUCGGCUCAGCUCGGCUCGGCUUGAUUCGGUACCACCUGAUAGGGGAGAAUCAGAAUCAGGGCAGAUCAAAGCGACCGGAGCGAUACGUAGCACGUCGAAAUUGAUGGAGAACGCUUUACGUUAGCGAAUUGCGAGUCUCGUAGAGUCGGAGCGGCGCAGAACUGAUGGCGAGACGAUGGCGAUGGAGGAGGGAACGAAGAGGAGCAGCGAGGGCGGACAGAAAAGACUAAGUCGAUUUUAAUUUAACCGGAGGACAAAUUAAAAGGCAUCAAUCCGGAGGGCAAAGUGCUGCGGAGGAUUAACAGUUGGCUCUCAAGGCUCUAAGAGGAGCGACGGGAUAACGACAGGCCCUUCGAGUGAAACGACGGCCGUAUACCUAAUUCGCUCGGCCCUUGGUCUACCAAACGGGAGGUAGUCUUUCAGUUCACUGUACUCAAAGACGCACGUGCUGCACCUACAAAUGAGAGACGUUAGCAGCUCGCGGUUUUGAUUCCACGACUCGAGCGGGUUCUCCUUGCCUCAAAACACACGCGGAUACGUGCGGAUACGUGCACGAGAAUGGGAGGAGAGAAAACGCGUGUGCUCUUUUCAGGCGAGAGACCAGCGUCGCCCUCCCACCUCUGUAUAACUGACGUUUCAUGAAUUGGAAAUGUAAUUUUACCACCCAGCCGUGGCUCGCGGCGUCGUAACUGUUUGCAUGAUACCCAGGGCGCGAAGUAAACGAGCGCAUAAUUUCAGCCGCGAACACGUCCGCGGGGCCCGGCAGCCCGGGAGGUGCCAAAGAGUAUAUUUCGCCGUGUGCCGGGUGACAGCGCGCGUAAUCGCGAUCACCGUGCUUUCUACCUCAACGCGCGUUUCCCCUGAAAGAUUGCUCUCGACGCUCGUCUCAUCCUCGCUCACGAUUAUUAAUCCUUCGCAAGGCA